Long non-coding RNA from Pipra filicauda (Wire-tailed manakin), 909 nucleotides. RefSeq lists it as uncharacterized. Lineage: Eukaryota; Metazoa; Chordata; Aves; Passeriformes; Pipridae. The record is from RefSeq and is a predicted model, not a curated record. The transcript is spliced from 2 exons.
GUUUGUUUUGUUGUUGUUAUUGUUUUGGUUUGCUUGGGUUUUUUUAAGGUUUUGGAGUUGCAGAGAGCCCCUGGUGUGUGAGAUACUUUGUGCCAUGACGUGGGCUCUCCCUGUCAGUGAGGCCAGGUGUUGAAGCCGGGCUGCAUCGUACUAAAGGGAAACCCUCGCCCAACGAGCUUUGGAUUUUAACCAACUGCACCACUGCAGAGUGCACACGAGAAGAUCUCGUGGGUUUUCACGGUCAUUACAUGCACUUCCAGCAGGGAAUGAGCUGACCUUUACAAGGGAAGGUUCCCUAGGAACUGUGCAUACUAACCACGUUACUGAGGGCUGCGCUGCUCUGAAGAGCACUGGUGCAUACCACUGUGCUCCCUGGAAGAUUCCCUUUUGCCACAAACGAUGGGGUGGAUACAACAGGAGAUUUUACCAGCUGCCGGGUGAAAGAUGGGCGCUAAUCAGCUCUGCUGACAACAACCAAUGAAAAUGGAAGGGAAGCAAAGGAUACCUCCCUUUUUAACAAUUCAACAACUCUGUUUGUAAGCAUGUGUUAAGUUGUGGAUCCUUUAAGAGAAUUGCCUCCUUUUUUUCAUACUUGGGCAGAAAACCAAGAAUUAAAUCUGACCUUUUCACAAAAAUUAAACUGAGAGAGAGAUGAAAGCUACAAGUUUGUAUCCUUCUCAGACAAGAAUUUCAUUGGAUUUACUGCAACUGCAGGCCCAAGUAAAACAAGCAGGAUUUGGCCUGUAAACUUUCAUUCCAGCUGCCAGAGUAAAAUUUCUAAUUGAUUAGUACAAAAUAAAUUCGAAGCAACACUGUGUUGCUAUGGAACCUGAGCAAGUAGAAAAAGUUUCUUUGCAGUAUGUGCUGUUUCUCCUUCAAAAAUAAAAAACAGAAGGACUAGAUAACACA